RNAcentral lists this ribosomal RNA (896 nucleotides) under Cryptosporella umbrina. Its description in RNAcentral is "LSU rRNA". It matches the Rfam family "Eukaryotic large subunit ribosomal RNA", at positions 38 to 964 of the family's 3401-position model. Lineage: Eukaryota; Fungi; Ascomycota; Sordariomycetes; Diaporthales; Gnomoniaceae. The record is from RNAcentral.
GCAUAUCAAUAAGCGGAGGAAAAGAAACCAACAGGGAUUGCCCUAGUAACGGCGAGUGAAGCGGCAACAGCUCAAAUUUGAAAUCUGGCUUCGGCCCGAGUUGUAAUUUGCAGAGGAUGUUUAUGGUGCGGUACCUUCCGAGUUCCCUGGAACGGGACGCCACAGAGGGUGAGAGCCCCGUCUGGUUGGAUACCAAACCUGUGUUAAACUCCUUCAACGAGUCGAGUAGUUUGGGAAUGCUGCUCUAAAUGGGAGGUAAAUCUCUUCUAAAGCUAAAUACCGGCCAGAGACCGAUAGCGCACAAGUAGAGUGAUCGAAAGAUGAAAAGCACCUUGAAAAGGGGGUUAAACAGUACGUGAAAUUGUUAAAAGGGAAGCGUUUAUGACCAGACUUGUGUCGUGUGGCUCAUCCGAGGUUCUCCCCGGUGCACUCCACACGGCUCAGGCCAACAUCGGUUCUCGUUGGGGGAUAAGAACAGUAGGAACGUGGCCCUCUUCGGAGGGUGUUAUAGCCUGCUGUACGAUACCCUGAUGGGGACCGAGGACCGCGCUUCGGCUAGGAUGUUGGCGUAAUGGUCAUUAGCGACCCGUCUUGAAACACGGACCAAGGAGUCGUCCAUUAGAGCGAGCGUUUGGGUGUAAAACCCGCACGCGUAAUGAAAGUGAAAUUAGGUGAGAGCUUCGGCGCAUCAUCGACCGAUCCUGAAGUUUACGGAUGGAUUUGAGUAAGAGUUUUAACGGACGGACCCGAAAGACAGUGAACUAUGCUUGAAUAGGGUGAAGCCAGAGGAAACUCUGGUGGAGGCUCGCAGCGGUUCUGACGUGCAAAUCGAUCGUCAAAUUUGAGCAUGGGGGGCGAAAGACUAAUCGAACUGUCUAGUAGCUGGUUACCGCCGA